Molecule: non-coding RNA, 75 nt
Organism: Podarcis lilfordi (Lilford's wall lizard)
Lineage: Eukaryota; Metazoa; Chordata; Lepidosauria; Squamata; Lacertidae
Source: the annotation of a GenBank genome assembly
UGUUGGAUAGCUCAGUUGGUUAGAGUGUGGUGCUGGUAAUGCCAAGGUUGCAGGUUCGAUCCCCGUAUGAGAUAG